GACGAACGCUGGCGGCGUGCUUAACACAUGCAAGUCGAACGGAAAGGCCCUGCUUGUGUGGGGUGCUCGAGUGGCGAACGGGUGAGUAACACGUGAGUAACCUGCCCUUGACUUUGGGAUAACUUCAGGAAACUGGGGCUAAUACCGGAUAGGAGCUCCUGCUGCAUGGUGGGGGUUGGAAAGUUUCGGCGGUUGGGGAUGGACUCGCGGCUUAUCAGCUUGUUGGUGGGGUAGUGGCUUACCAAGGCUUUGACGGGUAGCCGGCCUGAGAGGGUGACCGGCCACAAUGGGACUGAGAUACGGCCCAGACUCCUACGGGAGGCAGCAGUGGGGAAUAUUGCACAAUGGGCGGGAGCCUGAUGCAGCAACGCCGCGUGCGGGAUGACGGCCUUCGGGUUGUAAACCGCUUUCGCCUGUGACGAAGCGUGAGUGACGGUAAUGGGUAAAGAAGCACCGGCUAACUACGUG
RNAcentral lists this ribosomal RNA (468 nucleotides) under uncultured bacterium. RNAcentral describes it as "partial 16S ribosomal RNA". It matches the Rfam family "Bacterial small subunit ribosomal RNA", at positions 28 to 507 of the family's 1533-position model. The record is from RNAcentral.